RNAcentral lists this ribosomal RNA (773 nucleotides) under uncultured fungus. Its description in RNAcentral is "eukaryotic LSU rRNA". It matches the Rfam family "Eukaryotic large subunit ribosomal RNA", at positions 30 to 821 of the family's 3401-position model. Lineage: Eukaryota; Fungi. The record is from RNAcentral.
GAACUUAAGCAUAUCAAUAAGCGGAGGAAAAGAAACCAACAGGGAUUGCCUUAGUAACGGCGAGUGAAGCGGCAACAGCUCAAAUUUGAAAUCUGGCGCUUUCAGCGUCCGAGUUGUAAUUUGCAGAGGGCGCUUUGGCGUUGGCAGCGGUCCAAGUUCCUUGGAACAGGUCGUCACAGAGGGUGAGAAUCCCGUACGUGGCCGCGUGUCUUCGCCGUGUAAAGCCCCUUCGACGAGUCGAGUUGUUUGGGAAUGCAGCUCUAAAUGGGAGGUAAAUUUCUUCUAAAGCUAAAUACUGGCCAGAGACCGAUAGCGCACAAGUAGAGUGAUCGAAAGAUGAAAAGCACUUUGGAAAGAGAGUCAAACAGCACGUGAAAUUGUUGAAAGGGAAGCGCUUGCAGCCAGACUUGCCUGCCGUUGCUCAUCCGGUCUUUUGUCCGGUGCAUUCUUCGGUAGGCAGGCCAGCAUCAGUUUGGGCGGUGGGAUAAAGGUCUCUGUCACGUACCUCCUUUCGGGGAGGCCUUAUAGGGGAGACGUCAUGCCACCAGCCUGGACUGAGGUCCGCGCAUCUGCUAGGAUGCUGGCGUAAUGGCUGUAAGCGGCCCGUCUUGAAACACGGACCAAGGAGUCUAACAUCUAUGCGAGUGUUUGGGUGUCAAGCCCAAGCGCGCAAUGAAAGUGAACGGAGGUGGGACCCCGUAAGGGUGCACCAUCGACCGAUCCUGAUGUCUUCGGAUGGAUUUGAGUAAGAGCAUGGCUGUUGGGACCCGAAA